ACUCGACUGCACGAAGCUGGAAUCNCUAGUAAUCGCGGAUCAGCACGCCGCGGUGAAUACGUUCCCGGGCCUUGUACACACCGCCCGUCACACCAUGGAAGUCUGCAAUGCCCGAAGCCGGUGGCCUAACCACUUAUGUGGAAGGAGCCGUCUAAGGCAGGGCAGAUGACUGGGGUGAAGUCGUAACAAGGUAUC
RNAcentral lists this ribosomal RNA (195 nucleotides) under uncultured bacterium. Its description in RNAcentral is "partial 16S ribosomal RNA". It matches the Rfam family "Bacterial small subunit ribosomal RNA", at positions 1310 to 1500 of the family's 1533-position model. The record is from RNAcentral.